UACGUAGGGUGCGAGCGUUAAUCGGAAUUACUGGGCGUAAAGCGCGCGUAGGCGGCUUUGCAAGUCGGGUGUGAAAUCCCCAGGCUUAACCUGGGAACUGCAUUCGAGACUGCAUUGCUAGAGUAUGGGAGAGGGAAGUGGAAUUCCCGGUGUAGUGGUGAAAUGCGUAGAUAUCGGGAGGAACACCAGUGGCGAAGGCGACUUCCUGGCCUGUUCUUGACGCUGAGGCGCGAAAGCUAGGGGAGCAAACGGG
This 253-nucleotide ribosomal RNA is filed under the name uncultured bacterium. RNAcentral's name for it is "partial 16S ribosomal RNA". It matches the Rfam family "Bacterial small subunit ribosomal RNA", at positions 524 to 776 of the family's 1533-position model. The record is from RNAcentral.